This 1517-nucleotide ribosomal RNA is filed under the name uncultured bacterium. Its description in RNAcentral is "bacterial SSU rRNA". It matches the Rfam family "Bacterial small subunit ribosomal RNA". The record is from RNAcentral.
AGAGUUUGAUCCUGGCUCAGAUUGAACGCUGGCGGCAGGCCUAACACAUGCAAGUCGAGCGGAAACGAGUUAUCUGAACCUUCGGGGGACGAUAACGGCGUCGAGCGGCGGACGGGUGAGUAAUGCCUAGGAAAUUGCCCUGAUGUGGGGGAUAACCAUUGGAAACGAUGGCUAAUACCGCAUAAUGCCUACGGGCCAAAGAGGGGGACCUUCGGGCCUCUCGCGUCAGGAUAUGCCUAGGUGGGAUUAGCUAGUUGGUGAGGUAACGGCUCACCAAGGCGACGAUCCCUAGCUGGUCUGAGAGGAUGAUCAGCCACACUGGAACUGAGACACGGUCCAGACUCCUACGGGAGGCAGCAGUGGGGAAUAUUGCACAAUGGGCGCAAGCCUGAUGCAGCCAUGCCGCGUGUGUGAAGAAGGCCUUCGGGUUGUAAAGCACCUUCAGUCGUGAGGAAGGUAGUGUAGUUAAUAGCUGCAUUAUUUGACGUUAGCGACAGAAGAAGCACCGGCUAACUCCGUGCCAGCAGCCGCGGUAAUACGGAGGGUGCGAGCGUUAAUCGGAAUUACUGGGCGUAAAGCGCAUGCAGGUGGUUUGUUAAGUCAGAUGUGAAAGCCCGGGGCUCAACCUCGGAAUAGCAUUUGAAACUGGCAGACUAGAGUACUGUAGAGGGGGGUAGAAUUUCAGGUGUAGCGGUGAAAUGCGUAGAGAUCUGAAGGAAUACCGGUGGCGAAGGCGGCCCCCUGGACAGAUACUGACACUCAGAUGCGAAAGCGUGGGGAGCAAACAGGAUUAGAUACCCUGGUAGUCCACGCCGUAAACGAUGUCUACUUGGAGGUUGUGGCCUUGAGCCGUGGCUUUCGGAGCUAACGCGUUAAGUAGACCGCCUGGGGAGUACGGUCGCAAGAUUAAAACUCAAAUGAAUUGACGGGGGCCCGCACAAGCGGUGGAGCAUGUGGUUUAAUUCGAUGCAACGCGAAGAACCUUACCUACUCUUGACAUCCAGAGAAUUUUCCAGAGAUGGAUUAGUGCCUUCGGGAACUCUGAGACAGGUGCUGCAUGGCUGUCGUCAGCUCGUGUUGUGAAAUGUUGGGUUAAGUCCCGCAACGAGCGCAACCCUUAUCCUUGUUUGCCAGCGAGUAAUGUCGGGAACUCCAGGGAGACUGCCGGUGAUAAACCGGAGGAAGGUGGGGACGACGUCAAGUCAUCAUGGCCCUUACGAGUAGGGCUACACACGUGCUACAAUGGCGCAUACAGAGGGCAGCAAGCUAGCGAUAGUGAGCGAAUCCCAAAAAGUGCGUCGUAGUCCGGAUUGGAGUCUGCAACUCGACUCCAUGAAGUCGGAAUCGCUAGUAAUCGUGGAUCAGAAUGCCACGGUGAAUACGUUCCCGGGCCUUGUACACACCGCCCGUCACACCAUGGGAGUGGGCUGCAAAAGAAGUAGGUAGUUUAACCUUCGGGAGGACGCUUACCACUUUGUGGUUCAUGACUGGGGUGAAGUCGUAACAAGGUAGCCGUA